Long non-coding RNA from Neofelis nebulosa (Clouded leopard), 1791 nucleotides. RefSeq lists it as uncharacterized. The record is from RefSeq and is a predicted model, not a curated record. The transcript has 3 exons. Lineage: Eukaryota; Metazoa; Chordata; Mammalia; Carnivora; Felidae.
AUUUUUUUAAUAAAUAAAGACAAGGAAACAAAUUUUAAAAGGCUCAGAGAGAAACAGGUCACCUGAAAAGGAACAAGGAUCAAAAAUUUACAUCUCUUAUGGACUGAAUGUGCCCCUCCCUGACACCAAAUUCCUAUGUGAAAACCCUACUCCCCAAUGUAAUGAUGUUAGGAGGUAGGGUCUUUGGGAGGUAAUUAAGUAAUGAGGGUGAAGCCCUAGUGAAUGGGAUUAGUGCCCUUGUUAAAACUAACCUCACAGAGCUCUCUCACCCUCUCUGACAUGUAAGGACACAAAAAGAAGUUGGCAGUGUACAACCCCAAAGAACCCAACUGUGUUGGCACCUUCAUCUUGAACAUCCAGCCUCCGGAACUAGUGACAAAAUGAAGGAAUUCACCCCAAAAGAAAGAACAGGAAGAAAUGUCAGCCAGGGACUUAAUCAACACAGACAUAAAUAGCCACAUCUGUCAGCAGCCUAUCCUUGUUGCCCAAACUGUGAAGAACUGUGAGUGGUCUGAGAUUUUUCACCUAUUCCAACCUGGCAGGUUAGCCUGUCACAGGUUCUUAAGUGCCAGCAGAAGAUACGAGACUUCUGGAUCAGAGACAAAGCUCUUUAUUACUGCACACACAGUGGGCAACAUGUGUUUUACACCAAUUCCUCAUGUCCCCAAAUCCCAUGGGGAUCACACAAGUAGUCGUAGAUGGAUGCUGCACAUAGAGUGGGUUUAUAUCACAGCUGAGAAACUAGAAAUUAAGAAAUUUCCAUCUUUUAUAAGCAGCUUCAAGCAAACCUGCCCAACCUUUCCCCGGGGAAAGGGAGGAGGGGAGACAUUAUCUUUUUAUAUUGGACAGCAAACAAAUCUGUCCCCCUGGGCUAGAGUGACACUAUCUAUGUCCUCCAAAGCUAGACAAACAUUCUUGAAAGAUAGUCCAGAACAAAAACUGUCAGGGCCUCUGUUCUAAAAUGGCAGAAUAAGAGCUCAGUUGGGAGUGGAAAAUAACUCCCAAUACUUGUAAUGUUAAUUUCUUUUAUUGUGGUAAAAUAUAUAUACAAUUUACCACAGUAACAAUUUUUUUAAGUUUAUUUAUUGAUUUUGAGAGAGAGAAUGUGAGUGAGGGAGGGGCAGAGAGAGAGGGAGAGAGAGAGAGUCUCAAGCAGGUUCCACGCUGUAAGCACAGAGCCAGAUGCAGGGUUCAAUCUCAUGAACUGCAAGAUCGUGACCUGGGCCGAAAUCAAGAGUUGGACGGUUAACUGACUGAGCCACCUAGGUGCCCCUACCAUAUUAACAAUUUUUAAGUGUAUAAUUCGAACUGUGUUAUUAUUUUUAAUGCACUGCUGGUUUUGAUUUUCUAGUAUUUUAUUCAGAUCUUUUAUCUGUGCCUGUCAGUGGGACUGACCCAUAGUCAUCUUUUGUGUGAAAGCAGCACUGUCUAGUUUGAUGUCAUAGUUAUGUCGGCCUCCUAGAAUAAGUUAUGAAAUUUCUCUUUUCCCAUGCUCUGGAAUCCUGUGCAUUACAUGGGAAUUGAUGGCUCCUUAAAAGUUUGUUAGAGCUGACUCAUGAAAUCACCUGGGUAGACAUCUAUUUUUGAGGAAAACAUUUGACCACCUUUUCAAUUUCUUCAACAAAUAUUGAUCUUUUCAGAUAUUCUCCCCUUUCUCAAGUCAGUUUUGAUAAUUCAGUUUUUCAGAAACAUCUAUUUUAUAUAGAGUUUUCAAAAAUCUGUACCUUAGUAAUGUCUCUUUUCUUGUACAGUGUUUCUUUUUUUGUGUAUCUCUUCACUGAUUGACCAGAC